GAUCUAAAGAAAUCGGAGAAAAACCUCGAAGGGUUAGGGUUUCAAAAGAACCCUAUAAAUGAGAAAGACUUUGAAAGACCACUGAUCUUAGUCGGAGAGGUGAGAAAUAGGCUCUGACAACCUUGGUACGCCGGAGCAAGGCCGGAGAUGAUCUUGAACCUCGAAUCAAUAGAGGUCUGGGUUUGACCCUUCAUAGUCAGGCCUCAAAUCUUUAGGUAUCAGGCGCGUGAGAGCAAGAUAAGCUGGGUAUAAGACUCUCAUGGCCUAGGAAGCCAUGGAUCUCGGCGGGUUUCGAGCUGGAGAUGGUGAGAGGCGGCUAGGUUUCGGGAAACUUUAAGAGAGUUUGAGAGCUCAGGAGUGGCGGUUGGUGAGAAAUGAGGUAGGGUCGGGGGUGUUGGUGGAUUAAACAAGGGAAAGGA
RNAcentral lists this long non-coding RNA (419 nucleotides) under Nicotiana benthamiana. Its description in RNAcentral is "long non-coding RNA (NBEN_LNC012541)". Lineage: Eukaryota; Viridiplantae; Streptophyta; Magnoliopsida; Solanales; Solanaceae. The record is from RNAcentral.